AAUACUAGAGUUUGAUCCUGGCUCAGGACGAACGCUGGCGGCGUGCCUAAGACAUGCAAGUCGAACGAGAAAGUCUCUUCGGAGAUGAGUAAAGUGGCGCACGGGUGAGUAACGCGUGGGUAAUCUGCCCUUAGGUCUGGGAUAACCCCGGGAAACCGGAGCUAAUACCGGAUGAGACCACGACGACUUCGGUCGAUGUGGGAAAAGGUGGCCUCUUCUUGAAAGCUAUCGCCAAAGGAUGAGCCCGCGUUUGAUUAGCUAGUUGGUGAGGUAAUGGCUCACCAAGGCGACGAUCAAUAGCUGGUCUGAGAGGAUGAUCAGCCACACUGGAACUGAGAUACGGUCCAGACUCCUACGGGAGGCAGCAGUCAGGAAUAUUGGGCAAUGGGCGAAAGCCUGACCCAGCAACGCCGCGUGAAGGAUGAAGGCCUUCGGGUCGUAAACUUCUGUCGAGAGGGAAGAAUGUGUACGGGUGAACAAUCCGUGCAUUUGACGGUACCUCCAAAGGAAGCACCGGCUAACUCCGUGCCAGCAGCCGCGGUAAUACGGAGGGUGCAAGCGUUGUUCGGAUUCAUUGGGCGUAAAGCGAGUGUAGGCGGUUUGACAAGUCGGAUGUGAAAUCCCAGGGCCCAACCCUGGAACUGCAUCCGAUACUGUCUGGCUAGAGUCCCGGAGAGGGUGGCGGAAUUCCCGGUGUAGGGGUGAAAAUCCGUAGAUAUCGGGAGGAACACUAGUGGCGAAGGCGGUUACCUGGACGGUGACUGACGCUGAGACUCGAAAGCGUUGGUAGCAAACAGGAUUAGAUACCUCUGGUAGUCCACCGCUGUAAACCGUGAGUGCUCGUCGUCGUGGGUAUUGACCUCCUGCGUGA
This 871-nucleotide ribosomal RNA is filed under the name uncultured bacterium. Its description in RNAcentral is "bacterial SSU rRNA". It matches the Rfam family "Bacterial small subunit ribosomal RNA", at positions 1 to 846 of the family's 1533-position model. The record is from RNAcentral.